RNAcentral lists this long non-coding RNA (1602 nucleotides) under Sus scrofa (pig). RNAcentral's name for it is "lncRNA (ENSSSCG00030044768.1)". Lineage: Eukaryota; Metazoa; Chordata; Mammalia; Artiodactyla; Suidae. The record is from RNAcentral.
AGGCUGACAGCUGUAGCUCCGAUUCCACCCCCCGAGCCUGGGAACCUCCAUAUGACACAGGUGCGGCCCUAAAAAGCAAAAAUCCAUCAUCAAUAAAAAUAAAAGCUAAAAAAAACGUUUUGAAAAGCUUUUUCUAGCACAAUGGCUUUUUCACUCCGUAAACAACACUGGGCUUUUUCACCACGGUUUGGAUUUCACUCUCCUACGGCACCAGCGUACAUGUUAUUUAGUAGAUACUGGCAGAGUCAUAUAACAACGAACACUGAAGAUGGAGGGCAACUUACUCAUCCUUUGAAAGGUUAAGGAAACCAACGCCAGAGCUAUGAGUAACCUGUCACACUUCUACAGAACCCAGUUCUUCUCAGGUCAAUCAUUAAACUGGCUUUCUUCCCCGUGGUGGUUACUGGCGGACCAGGCGAGUGUGUCGGGCACAGUACCACUACAGCUCAGGACCGGGCUUCUCGCAUACGUAACCCGGUUCACCCCGAUGUCUACAAACGUCCCCACGGACAAUAAUCCUUGCUGAACAGCAGUCUGGUGGCAAAGGGAAAUGAAGACGGACAAAACGACGUCACUCGACAUGGAAACCAGAAUGCUUUCUCUUUAAUGGGGGUGGGGAAAGUCUCCAUUUUAGCACGUGACACCAAGGCCCUUCCUCAGAGAGACGAUCAGAGCUCACUCUUGAGAGAGCUUAUUACCCACAAACCAGCCACACAUAAGACACAGGAGGAGAAUUCCAAAACUAAGGAAGAGGGUAAUGACGGGCUUCCUGCCAACGGUGUACAGACUGGAAUGAGCCUCGGAGAUGCUGUGCUGCAAGCCAACACUGGCAGGUCCAGUGACCAGGUAAGCCUUUGUGGGGGCUGGAGCAGAGCAGGAUGGAGGAGCCCUGCCACAGUUUAGAAAAGUACCUGGGGAGUUCCUGGCAUGGCUUAGCAGAAAUGAAUUUGACUAGUAUCCGUGCGGACAAAGGUUCGAUCCCUGGCCUCGCUCCGUGAGUUAAGGAUCUGGCGUUGCUGUGAGCUGUGGUGUAGGCUGCAGAUGUGGCUUGGAUCUGGCAUUGCUGUGGCUGUGGUGUAGGCCGAUGGCUACAGCUCCUAUUCCACCCCUAGCCUAGGAACUUCCAUAUGCCGUGGGUGCACCCCCCCCCCAAAAGGAAAGGACAGAAAGAAAAGCACCUGGCAGUAAAAAUACUGGCACAAACACAAUUAUUGCCUGUACCAUUUCUGUGUGACUCUUGGAACGCAGCAGUUCCCCAAAAAGGUUAGACCCAGAUCAAAAGGAAGGGAGCGGAAAGGGGAAGAAACCUUCACCGAGGGUUUCUGGCCACACUUCAGACCAGCAGUUCGUCCUCCUACCAAGAACCCUCUCUCUCCAACUCGGGUGUUCACGAGCUUCAGGACACCAGCAUUCUCUUUCCUCUCACUAAUGAACUGUAUCGAGAGCAAACCUCUAACAACAAUCAUUGAAAAGGAAAGUGAUAUUCAAUUUUAAAACACUUCUAAUUAAAUCUGCAUUUUUUGGACAGUUUUAUUGACAUUACACAACAAUUCCUGCUCAGCUCACUGAAAUACGUGCCUCUCUUUAGAGGAUACACCUUUC